Molecule: ribosomal RNA, 533 nt
Filed under: uncultured bacterium
Lineage: Bacteria
Description: bacterial SSU rRNA
Rfam family: Bacterial small subunit ribosomal RNA
Source: RNAcentral
AGUAAAUAGAUACCCUGGUAGUCCACGCCGUAAACGAUGAGUACUAGGUGUAGGAGGUAUCGACUCCUUCUGUGCCGCAGUUAAACACAAUAAGUACUCCGCCUGGGAAGUACGGUCGCAAGAUUAAAACUCAAAGGAAUUGACGGGGGCCCGCACAAGCAGCGGAGCAUGUGGUUUAAUUCGAAGCAACGCGAAGAACCUUACCUAGACUUGACAUCCCCUGAAUAACGUAGAGAUACGCGAAGCCCUUCGGGGCAGGGAGCAGGUGGUGCAUGGUUGUCGUCAGCUCGUGUCGUGAGAUGUUGGGUUAAGUCCCGCAACGAGCGCAACCCUUAUCAUUAGUUGCUACCAUUUAGUUGAGCACUCUAGUGAGACUGCCCGGGUUAACCGGGAGGAAGGCGGGGAUGACGUCAAAUCAUCAUGCCCCUUAUGUCUAGGGCUACACACGUGCUACAAUGGUGAGAACAACGAGAUGCAAUACCGCGAGGUGGAGCAAAAACUUCAAAACUCAUCUCAGUUCGGAUUGUAGGCUG